UAAUUUUGACAAUUUAACCUUAAAUAUAUUUUAUUAAGAAAUAAUUAUCUAUAUACCCUUCAAAACUUUUGAAAUAUCUCAUAUUUCCCUUUUUUUAUUUCAAAUAUAUCGUCGUAUAUUACUCCGUUGUCCAAAAAUAACUUCGCUGUCAGUAUCUAUUAAGUCAUAAAAAGAGAUAAAAAAUACCUCUUUUGCUCCUAGCUUAAGGAUAAAUAAGAAAAGUUGGUAACGGUAGAAAGAUAUAUUUGAAAGAUCAAAAAACUAAUUUUAUAGAGAUAUAAACAGUUGUUCCUAACAGUUUGAUCACUGACAAAAUUUAACUUUAAGAGUAUAUUUUAAAAAAUUUGGUACGUUAAAAGGAUAAUUUUUUUAUAUUUGCUUUCUAAGAAGGGUAAAUAAGAAAGUUUAAAAUUUUUCAAGAAUAUAUAAGUAAUUUUCUCUUUUAUUAAAUUAUUUCAAUAAGUCCCUCUGCUUUACGUACUAGAGUUACUAAUUAUAUAGCCCUUUUAGAUCGGCUGUCGAACGCAUAAUCUUACAAGACUUCAAAAUAUAAAAAAAAUCGGUCUUUUCUCCUCCAUUUUUAUAAUUAAUUACAUAUGACAAUUGAAAAACAGAUGAACCUAACUUUGAUUUUUGUUACUUCUUUUAUAUGCUCGAAUAGAAAAAUUAAAUCUUUUAUG
This 680-nucleotide long non-coding RNA is filed under the name Ananas comosus (pineapple). RNAcentral's name for it is "long non-coding RNA (ACOM_LNC013079)". The record is from RNAcentral. Lineage: Eukaryota; Viridiplantae; Streptophyta; Magnoliopsida; Poales; Bromeliaceae.